This is a long non-coding RNA of Bufo bufo (common toad), 299 nucleotides long. RefSeq lists it as uncharacterized. The record is from RefSeq and is a predicted model, not a curated record. Lineage: Eukaryota; Metazoa; Chordata; Amphibia; Anura; Bufonidae. The transcript is spliced from 4 exons.
AAUGUUAAUAGGCAAAAUAAAAAAAUAUUCAUGUGCUCAGGGCUACAAUUGGCCCAGUCCUCAAGGUGUUAAAAAUAAUGUUGUGAAUUUCAGUCUUAUAUUUAUUUUAGGGACAUCUUGGAGCUGCAGUUGGCAGUGUUGUUGGAAUGUCAGUUAAAAUAAUUGGGGAAAUUAUUCACAGCACAGGCCUUAUUAAUCCAGCUUUAGACUUGCUGUGUGAUGUGUUAACUGGGGACCUCACCUCCAAGUGUGCGGAAAUGCAAUCCAAUAGCGAUCUUACGUCAAACACUGGCUCCUUG